RNA transcript from Danio aesculapii, 2276 nucleotides. RefSeq lists it as uncharacterized. NCBI's taxonomy places the organism in Eukaryota, Metazoa, Chordata, Actinopteri, Cypriniformes, Danionidae. The transcript has 3 exons. The record is from RefSeq and is a predicted model, not a curated record.
CAAAAAAUAUUUGACUAAUAGGCUAAACAAAUAACUAUCAUUUUGUUUUGCAGACAGGCAUAUCAUGUGCACACCACUCUGAUAUGCAGUUAAACUGAGCACAUUCACUAUGCUUAGAACAUAAUCAUUUAUUAUCUGUGAGCUGUAAUCAGCUGCAGUUACAGUCUUAUAGGAGAAAAUGGUUUCUCUUGCUAACCUCACUGAACUGAGGGUGUUUAUGUGGUGUUAAUUCCUGUCCUGUCAUUAUUAAACUGGACGUAUGUCAUUGCAACAAAGUAAUAUACACUACAUGAUCACAUUUCAUUCUAAUGUUAUAUUGUAAAGAUUUUGUAUAUUUCUGAAGUAUGAAUUUAUAUACAUUGACCAUUCUAUUAUACAGAGUAUGCAAUUAUGCUAUUUGUCCAAGACUGUGUUAACAUCUGAUACUUUUCUUGAAGGAAAACCAGUGAAGCCAGACACUACAUUUAGAAAGAAUUGACUGUUAAAUGCUGUCAGAACUGCUUUAGAGUUGAGCGAGAGAGACCACAGAUCAGUGUGUGUGUGUUAACAUGGUGUUAAUUCCUGUCCUGUCUUUAAUAAUCUGCAGACGUGGUCCACAAAAGCCAGCGGAGUCUGGAGUUCUUUGUGGUGAGGGACGAAGUGCACUAUAUACUGAGUUGAAACAGUUGACACUUUGAGGAAUCGUUCUUGUGUAUCUUGUAGGCCUGAGCCAAGACACUCAAUAUAGGGGAAAAAACAUCUUCAGACUCAAGUUUUGUGUUUUCUGUGUGAAGAUGGCUCUAAACUGUCUUCUCAUAUAUCAACUGCUGUCCAAAUCUAAUCUUAAGAUAGCUGGACCACUCAUAGCUUUGUUAGUGGCUUGUCAAAUAUUAUUGGAUAUAAAGUUCUCAUGUCCAUGCUCUGUUGGGUGGAAUCAAGUUAUAUCAUUAUCCAUCUUUAUUGUGCCUGCUCUCAUUGCCUGUGUUAUAAUGCUCCUAUUCGUAAAGCUUAAUGCUCAGAACAACAGUGGAACAGCUCAGGCACAGAAUAGCAGUGGCCCAUCUGAGAAUGAACAGAAAUGUGUUUGGAUCAUUUGUGUGAUUCCAAUGAUUAUCUGGUGGUGUAUAUGUUUGAUUGAUGGUGAUUAUGCUGCAUGUUUUGUAACAGACUGGGAUGGAAAGUAUGCCUGUGAUAAGGAAUUGCAUCCACAUUGUUUGAACUGGUGCAAACCUACGGAAUCAAACCAGAAUCAAACUGAAAAAUACAACUACACACGAAAGAAUAUUAAUAUAUCAAAGAUUCUAGGUUACAUUCUGGCUGGUAUACUCUGUGUUGUGGGAAUUAUUGUUAUGUGUGGAUGGUGCAGAUGUAGCAGAUGUAGUAAUUCGGCCCAACCUACAGGCAUCAUAAGACUUUCUGCAAGUGGAGGAAAUCAAGAUGCUGAAGAUCCAACAUCAAGUGGGAGAAUUCAAGAUUCAGAAACAAUAGAACUGCAGCAAGUGGUAGGAACAUCAGAAAUAACUAUCAAACCAGACUCUGAACACCCCAAAGAGAACACCCAACUUCUAAACGAUGAAAAUGAGAGGAUGGAAGAAUAGACAUUUAAAUAUGGUCCCACUUAGGUGGCCUUAACCACUAUGCACUUGCCUCCAAAAUAUAUACAGUGUACUUACUGUGUCCAAAAUAUAUUGCACAACACUUCUGAUGCUCAUGAGGUGGGAUUUGGAUGGGGUUAGGGACAGAUCAUGUGGUAUGGAUAGGUUUAAGGGUGGGGUAAGGGAUGGUCAACAGUGUAGUUACAAAUAUAAUUACAGAAAUUAAUUACAGAUGUAAUUACAUGCUGGUAUUUAAUCAACCAUAAGUACAACGUAAAACAACAUAUAUUUAAACCAUAAGUACAAUGUAACAAAUGAUUAAUUUCAGUUUGAGUACAUAUUAGUUAAGGCCACAGAAUAUAAAAUUAGAACUGAAAUUUUAACUUGCAUUUUUACUUUAUACAAGAAACAUAAAAAAGGAUCAUUUUUGACCAGUCAAAGGGUCAGUUCACCCAAAAAUGAAAAGAACUGCAUGAUUUACUCACUCCUUCAUGUAUAUGACUUUGUUCUUUCAGUCAAGUCCAGUCUAAGUUAUUUUUUUCAGUAGGGUGAAUAAAGGCCAGCCUGUAAAUUGCUUGCUAUGCAAAAUUAUGUCCAAAAUCUCUGUGAACUUGCUUAGCUAUCAUUAGCAUUUUAUUGAGUAAAGAAACUGUUAAUUGUGGAUAAUUUGUCAUUGAAAUAAAAUUGCAUGUAUAACCAGAA